RNAcentral lists this ribosomal RNA (774 nucleotides) under uncultured Neocallimastigales. RNAcentral describes it as "partial large subunit ribosomal RNA". It matches the Rfam family "Eukaryotic large subunit ribosomal RNA", at positions 26 to 628 of the family's 3401-position model. Lineage: Eukaryota; Fungi; Neocallimastigomycota; Neocallimastigomycetes; Neocallimastigales. The record is from RNAcentral.
CGCAUCUGUGCAUGCAGCAUAUCAAUAAGCGGAGGAAAAGAAACUAACAAGGAUUCCCCUAGUAACGGCGAGUGAAGCGGGAAGAGCUCAAAUUUGAAAUCUUAAAGGGUUUCCCUUUACGAAUUGUAGUUUAAAGAAGUGUUUUCUGUUGAGGUUUUGGUAAAAGUUCUUUGGAAUAGGACAUCAUAGAGGGUGAGAAUCCCGUAUUUGACCUUUACUUUCAACUUUGUGAUACACUUUCAAAGAGUCGGAUUGUUUGGGAAUGCAGUCCAAAAUGGGUGGUAAAUUUCAUCUAAAGCUAAAUAUUGGCGAGAGACCGAUAGCGAACAAGUACCGUGAAGGAAAGAUGAAAAGAACUUUGAAAAGAGAGUUAAACAGUACGUGAAAUUGUCAAAAGGGAAGCGUUUGACACCAGUGUUGUUUUUCUGAAAAUCAAUUAAAGAACUGUUUAUGCUAAGUUGUUUAGACUUUAUCAGCUAUCUGUUUAGUUUUGAGCUUUUCUUUAAUGCACUUUUCAGUUAACAAGUCAACAUCAAUUUCUUUUGCUGUAAAAAAGCUUGAGGAAGGUGGCUUGAGAUUCGUCUUAAGUGUUUAUAGCCUCUUGCCUAUGCAGUCGGAGAGAUUGAGGUCUGCAGCGUAGAUCCUUCGGGGCUAAAUGCAUUUGUGCUAAGUUAUAGCAUUUUAUAGACAACUUGUUGACUAUGAUUUGUCUUGUAGCUUACUCGCUUAUGUUAUUUUACCUACGCUUAGGAUGUUGAGUCGUAGAGCACGCAG